This 438-nucleotide non-coding RNA is filed under the name Fagonia pachyacantha. RNAcentral's name for it is "partial tRNA-Leu". It matches the Rfam family "Group I catalytic intron", at positions 35 to 251 of the family's 253-position model. Rfam says of the family: Group I catalytic introns are large self-splicing ribozymes. The record is from RNAcentral. Lineage: Eukaryota; Viridiplantae; Streptophyta; Magnoliopsida; Zygophyllales; Zygophyllaceae.
AACAUACUAAGUGAUCACUUUCAAAUUCAGAGAAACCCUGGAAUUAGAAAUGGGCAAUCCUGAGCCAAAUCCUGUUUUCCGAAAAAAAAAAAGAAGUCAAUUAAAAGAAUCAAAUCAAAAAAGUAAAAAAAAAAAGGAUAGGUGCAGAGACUCAAUGGAAGCUGUUCUAAAAAAUGGAGUUGACUGCUGCAUUACGUUAGUCAAGUCAAGUCAAGGAAUCCUUGCAUCGAAACUUUUUCAAGGAUAAAGGAUAACCUUUCUUUCUAUCAAACUCUAAAAAUAAAAAAUAUAAAUMCUUUUUGAAUCAAUUGGAAGUUGAAGAAAGAAUAAAAUAUGAUUUUAUCAAAUCAUUUACUCCAAAGUCUGAUAUAUCUUUUUUCAAAAAGAUUAGUCAGACGAGAAUAAAGAUAGAGUCCCAUUCUAUAUGUCAAUAUUGAC